GAUCAUGCUCAGGAUGAACGCUAGCUACAGGCUUAACACAUGCAAGUCGAGGGGCAGCAUGAACUUAGCUUGCUAAGUUUGAUGGCGACCGGCGCACGGGUGAGUAACACGUAUCCAACCUGCCGAUGACUCGGGGAUAGCCUUUCGAAAGAAAGAUUAAUACCCGAUGGCAUAAUUCUUCCGCAUGGUAGAACUAUUAAAGAAUUUCGGUCAUCGAUGGGGAUGCGUUCCAUUAGG
Molecule: ribosomal RNA, 237 nt
Filed under: uncultured bacterium
Lineage: Bacteria
Description: partial 16S ribosomal RNA
Rfam family: Bacterial small subunit ribosomal RNA
Source: RNAcentral